Molecule: long non-coding RNA, 457 nt
Filed under: Zostera marina
Lineage: Eukaryota; Viridiplantae; Streptophyta; Magnoliopsida; Alismatales; Zosteraceae
Description: long non-coding RNA (ZMAR_LNC002782)
Source: RNAcentral
UCGAAUGUAUAGUGAAACCAAACAUUUCUGACGAUAAGAUUUAUUGAGCUGAAUGGAGUGAGAAGAGCAAGACUCUAGUCUGGAAUAAAUUUCUGGUAAUCUUUAAAUUUGGUUUACUUUUUUUUCAUAUUUCUAAUUAGUUAGAAAUAUUAACAACUUAUUUUUCGCUUUUAGACAUUUUUCACUUUCGAAGAUAACGAUUAUACUCAAACCGCGUUCGACAAAUAUUUGAUAAUGAACUAUCCUAAAUGGAUGAAAGCCCAGGAACAUGUGAAGAAGCUAGCAUGUGUGGGUACCCUAUACGACAGUUGCAAGAACUUUCCUCCCGGAUACCUGCGAAAGAACCAAUGGGAAAGAAUGAUGACGGAGUUCUUGUCAAGCGAAUUUUAAGAAAAGUCCAAGAAGAAUUCUGAAAACCGCCGUACAAGUAAUAAAGGAUACAUCGUCUAUAAAGGAG